Molecule: transfer RNA, 75 nt
Filed under: Schwartzia succinivorans
Lineage: Bacteria; Bacillati; Bacillota; Negativicutes; Selenomonadales; Selenomonadaceae
Also listed under: 2 other names
Description: tRNA-Glu
Rfam family: tRNA
About the family: Transfer RNA (tRNA) molecules are approximately 80 nucleotides in length. Their secondary structure includes four short double-helical elements and three loops (D, anti-codon, and T loops). Further hydrogen bonds mediate the characteristic L-shaped molecular structure. tRNAs have two regions of fundamental functional importance: the anti-codon, which is responsible for specific mRNA codon recognition, and the 3' end, to which the tRNAs corresponding amino acid is attached (by aminoacyl-tRNA synthetases). tRNAs cope with the degeneracy of the genetic code in two manners: having more than one tRNA (with a specific anti-codon) for a particular amino acid; and 'wobble' base-pairing, i.e. permitting non-standard base-pairing at the 3rd anti-codon position.
Source: RNAcentral
GGCGCGUUGGUCAAGUGGUUAAGACACCGCCCUUUCACGGCGGUAACAUGGGUUCAAAUCCCGUACGCGUCACCA